UGCACCAUUAGCUCAGUUGGUAGAGCACCUGACUCUUAAUCAGGGAGUCCAGGGUUCGAAUCCCUGAUGGUGCACCAA
This 78-nucleotide transfer RNA is filed under the name Clostridium perfringens C str. JGS1495. RNAcentral's name for it is "tRNA-Lys". It matches the Rfam family "tRNA". From Rfam's summary of the family: Transfer RNA (tRNA) molecules are approximately 80 nucleotides in length. Lineage: Bacteria; Bacillati; Bacillota; Clostridia; Eubacteriales; Clostridiaceae. RNAcentral also lists the same sequence under 5 other names. The record is from RNAcentral.